UGAGUAAUGUCUGGGAAACUGCCUGAUGGAGGGGGAUAACUACUGGAAACGGUAGCUAAUACCGCAUAACGUCUUCGGACCAAAGUGGGGGACCUUCGGGCCUCAUGCCAUCAGAUGUGCCCAGAUGGGAUUAGCUAGUAGGUGGGGUAAUGGCUCACCUAGGCGACGAUCCCUAGCUGGUCUGAGAGGAUGACCAGCCACACUGGAACUGAGACACGGUCCAGACUCCUACGGGAGGCAGCAGUGGGGAAUAUUGCACAAUGGGCGCAAGCCUGAUGCAGCCAUGCCGCGUGUAUGAAAAAGCCUUCGGGUUGUAAAGACUUUCUGCGAGGAGGAAGGCAUUAAGGUGAUAACCCUAUUGUUGUAGUUCUCCCCGAAAAAAAACCCAAGCACCGGCUAACUCCGUGCCAGCAGCCGCGGUAAUGCGGAGGGUGCAAGCGUUAAUCGGAAUUACUGGGCGUAAAGCGCACGCAGGCGGUCUGUCAAGUCGGAUGUGAAAUCCCCGGG
RNAcentral lists this ribosomal RNA (507 nucleotides) under uncultured bacterium. Its description in RNAcentral is "bacterial SSU rRNA". It matches the Rfam family "Bacterial small subunit ribosomal RNA", at positions 107 to 607 of the family's 1533-position model. The record is from RNAcentral.